UUACGCUCGAUGAUGAGUUCCGG
RNAcentral lists this non-coding RNA (23 nucleotides) under Arabidopsis thaliana (thale cress). Lineage: Eukaryota; Viridiplantae; Streptophyta; Magnoliopsida; Brassicales; Brassicaceae. The record is from RNAcentral.